GUCUCCUGGAGCCUCGUAACCUGCGUGUUUCAGAUGAGUGGUACACUCGUUUCCGUGUGUCCUGGGACCCUGUACCUGCGCGGGUCAACGGUUAUAAUCUGGUCUAUACCCCAGUGGGCACGGAUAACACCAUGGAAGUGUUUGUUGGAGAUGUUACUACACACAUCCUGCCCAACCUGCAGCCUGGCACCACGUAUGACCUGAAGGUUUAUGCUCAGUAUGAUGCAGGAGUGAGCGGCGCUCUGGUCGGACAGGGAACCACCUUGUACCUCAAUGUGACUGACCUCAUUACAUACAACGUCGGCUAUGACUCCUUCUGCAUCAGAUGGACGCCU
This is a long non-coding RNA of Sinocyclocheilus rhinocerous, 335 nucleotides long. RefSeq lists it as uncharacterized. Lineage: Eukaryota; Metazoa; Chordata; Actinopteri; Cypriniformes; Cyprinidae. The record is from RefSeq and is a predicted model, not a curated record. The transcript has 3 exons.